RNAcentral lists this ribosomal RNA (246 nucleotides) under uncultured bacterium. Its description in RNAcentral is "partial 16S ribosomal RNA". It matches the Rfam family "Bacterial small subunit ribosomal RNA", at positions 1254 to 1500 of the family's 1533-position model. The record is from RNAcentral.
CCAGCGAUGGCAAGCAAACCCAAAAAGCAGUCACAGUUCGGAUUGAAGGCUGAAAUUCGCCUUCAUGAAGCCGGAAUUGCUAGUAAUGGCAGGUCAGCAUACUGCCGUGAAUACGUUCCCGGGCCUUGUACACACCGCCCGUCACACCAUGAGAGUUGGGGAUACCCGAAGCCUGUGAGCCAACAGUUAAUGAGGCAGCAGUCGAAGAUAGAAUCAAUGAUUGGGGUGAAGUCGUAACAAGGUAAC